AUGAUUCUAUUGACAAUUUAUCUGAAGGGUCACCUGAUGGUCAGAAUAGAGUUCACUUACCCAGCCCAAACAGAAGGAUUGUUUCUCCUUUGAAGAAGUAUGAAAUGCCAAAAUUAUCGAAGAGGAGAAAAGCUAAGAAAUGGAGUCUAGUAGAAGAAGACACAUUGAGGACUGGUGUGGCGAAGUAUGGUGUAGGAAACUGGGCGAUCAUCUUAAAAUCCUAUCCUGACGAAUUUGAAGAGAGGACAGCGCUUGAUUUGAAAGACAAGUGGAGGAACAUGACUCGUUAUUGACUCCUCUAAUCAUAGUCUCUAGCGUUUUGUAUCUUUUUGUCUAUUAUGCUAAAUUCCUAUGUUGACAUAUUUGAAGAGCGGAUUGAGGUAAAAAAUUUGCAUUUCCCGGAUAAUAAUAUGAGAAGUUAUUUUGUUCAGGUUGAUUUGAAAGAGAAAUGGAGAAACAUGACUGGGUAUUGACUCUUCUAAUCACGGUUUGCGUUUUUUAUUUAUG
Cornus florida is the source of this 507-nucleotide long non-coding RNA. RefSeq lists it as uncharacterized. The record is from RefSeq and is a predicted model, not a curated record. Lineage: Eukaryota; Viridiplantae; Streptophyta; Magnoliopsida; Cornales; Cornaceae. The transcript has 3 exons.